GAAUGAUAUAAUAUUGCAGUUUUACACUUUGGAGUCAUUAUUUGACAUAUAGUAAAGCAGGUGUUAUGUAGGUACGGUGUGAUGGAAAGUAUAGAAACCCACUGUCCUGUACAAGGUGUGGGUUAAAGUGGCAUGUGUGUAUUUGUACAGCUGGUGUCUGAAUUAUUCGUAGACCGGAGAAAAGCUCCCCUGAAAACCACAGCUGUGAUUCUGUAAGUGUAAUACUACUAAUAGUAAGUACUUCUGGGAACAUCUCUUUGCAUCCUUUAAACAUUAGUUUAAAACAAAAAAAGGAUCUGAAUGUUUUUGGAUGCAAUCAUCUACCACGUGGCUUUGUACUGUUGUGUUUGUGAGCUUAAUAAAUAACUAAGAGUGAAACAAACUUUCUCAUUUUUAUCCAUUUAGGUUCCCUUUAUUUGAGUUUGAAAAAUGAAAAUCAGGGAUUUUAUGAGAAACAGACUCCAAAUCAGUACUGCAUGUCCUAUUUUAUUAAACUUAUAUUCUUCUUUAUAUUAUAUUCUUCUUUUUCUAGGUGAGGUUUUUUUAUUUUGUUGUAUUUAGCAGGUGUUGAGAAAAAACUCCUCUGGAAUUGUGUAAAAGUAAAAGUUUAAACAUUUUAACAUUUAAAAUGUUAAAAUGUUCAAUGUUCACCUUAAAAAAGGUGAACAUUGAACAUUUUAACAUUUUAAGGCCAAAUAUAGGGUAACGUGCUUGUCCAUCCCAUAAUAUCACCGAUGAGAGCGGGAUUUGUUUUGUUUCAACCGGACGCGGAUUGGCCCAUCUAUACACCCAUACAUGUAUGUACCUUGCUUACAUAAACACCACAGAAGAAGACGUAUCCUAAAGAACCCAUUUUAAUAAUGUGGACUGGAGCGACCAUGAACCGUUCCCCGCCAGUCCUCAUCACUCAUCCCGCAGUUUCCUCCCGCACAUUCUGCAGAAGACGCUCCAUGGGCCAUGGAUGUGUACUUAUCUGGCUUGUUGUUCAGCCUGGAGCUCUGCGAAUAAACACAGACGAGGAAGUGCAAGGGAUUGGAUCCAUAAUGGCAGCAGCAGUGGAAGGCACCCUGUGUCUCUCUCAUCAUUGCAUAGGUUGUCCAGCACUGUGGCUCCAGACCAGUUUACGCAAAACAAUCAAGCCAAGGUCAGUGCUGAAUGAUUUACUUUGUGUCUGUCUUCUGGCUAACUGGAGCACUUCAACUUUUUCGAUCUGUCCAACCCAGGAGAAAAAAAAAAACAUUGAGCCAAUGCUUCUCCUUAUCUCUUUCGCUCUUCUAAUCUCCUGUGAGCGGCAGGAGUGGAAGCAAAGGGGCUGUCAUUGUCCAGGGAUGUGA
RNAcentral lists this long non-coding RNA (1334 nucleotides) under Betta splendens (Siamese fighting fish). Its description in RNAcentral is "lncRNA (ENSBSLG00000009597.1)". The record is from RNAcentral. Lineage: Eukaryota; Metazoa; Chordata; Actinopteri; Anabantiformes; Osphronemidae.